Molecule: ribosomal RNA, 373 nt
Filed under: uncultured organism
Description: partial 16S ribosomal RNA
Rfam family: Bacterial small subunit ribosomal RNA
Source: RNAcentral
GUAGGUGGCAAGCGUUGUCCGGAAUUAUUGGGCGUAAAGCGCGCGCAGGCGGGUCCUUUAAGUCUGAUGUGAAAGCCCACGGGCUCAACCGUGGAGGGUCAUUGGAAACUGGGGGACUUGAGUACAGAAGAGGAAAGCGGAAUUCCAAGUGUAGCGGUGAAAUGCGUAGAGAUUUGGAGGAACACCAGUGGCGAAGGCGGCUUUCUGGUCUGUAACUGACGCUGAGGCGCGAAAGCGUGGGGAGCAAACAGGAUUAGAUACCCUGGUAGUCCACGCCGUAAACGAUGAGUGCUAAGUGUUAGGGGGUUUCCGCCCCUUAGUGCUGCAGCUAACGCAUUUAGCACUCCGCCUGGAGAGUACGGCCGCAAGGCUG